AGUGAACGCUGGCGGUAGGCCUAACACAUGCAAGUCGAACGGCAGCACAGUAAGAGCUUGCUCUUACGGGUGGCGAGUGGCGGACGGGUGAGGAAUACAUCGGAAUCUACUUUUUCGUGGGUGAUAACGUAGGGAAACUUACGCUACUACCGCAUACGACCUACGGGUGAAAGCAGUGGAUCUUCGGACCUUGCGCGAUUGAAUUAGCCGAUGUCGGAUUAGCUAGUUGGCGGGGUAAAGGCCCACCAAGGCGACAAUCCGUAGCUGGUCUGAGAGGAUGAUCAGCCACACUGGAACUGAGACACGGUCCAGACUCCUACGGGAGGCAGCAGUGGGGAAUAUUGGACAAUGGGCGAAAGCCUGAUCCAGCCAUACCGCGUGGGUGAAGAAGGCCUUCGGGUUGUAAAGCCCUUUUGUUGGGAAAGAAAAGCAGCAGGUUAAUACCCCGCUGUUCUGACGGUACCCAAAGAAUAAGCACCGGCUAACUUCGUG
Molecule: ribosomal RNA, 492 nt
Filed under: uncultured bacterium
Lineage: Bacteria
Description: partial 16S ribosomal RNA
Rfam family: Bacterial small subunit ribosomal RNA
Source: RNAcentral